CCUACGGGUGGCUGCAGUGAGGAAUAUUGGUCAAUGGGCGAGAGCCUGAACCAGCCAAGCCGCGUGAGGGAGUACUGCCCUAUGGGUUGUAAACCUCUUUUGUCGGGGAGCAAAAGCCGGACGUGUCCGGCUGUGAGAGUACCCGAAGAAAAAGCAUCGGCUAACUCCGUGCCAGCAGCCGCGGUAAUACGGAGGAUGCUAGCGUUAUCCGGAAUUAUUGGGUGUAAAGGGGGCGCAGGCGGGUUUUUAAGUCAGCGGUCAAAUCGUGGGGCUCAACGCCAUCCAGCCGUUGAAACUGGGGGUCGAGAGUGUGCGAGAGGUAUGCGGAAUGCGGGGUGUAGCGGUGAAUGGCAU
This 354-nucleotide ribosomal RNA is filed under the name uncultured bacterium. RNAcentral's name for it is "partial 16S ribosomal RNA". It matches the Rfam family "Bacterial small subunit ribosomal RNA", at positions 338 to 691 of the family's 1533-position model. The record is from RNAcentral.